GACGAACGCUGGCGGCGUGCCUAAUACAUGCAAGUCGAGCGGACAGACGGGAGCUUGCUCCCUGAUGUUAGCGGCGGACGGGUGAGUAACACGUGGGUAACCUGCCUGUAAGACUGGGAUAACUCCGGGAAACCGGGGCUAAUACCGGAUGGUUGUCUGAACCGCAUGGUUCAGACAUAAAAGGUGGCUUCGGCUACCACUUACAGAUGGACCCGCGGCGCAUUAGCUAGUUGGUGAGGUAACGGCUCACCAAGGCAACGAUGCGUAGCCGACCUGAGAGGGUGAUCGGCCACACUGGGACUGAGACACGGCCCAGACUCCUACGGGAGGCAGCAGUAGGGAAUCUUCCGCAAUGGACGAAAGUCUGACGGAGCAACGCCGCGUGAGUGAUGAAGGUUUUCGGAUCGUAAAGCUCUGUUGUUAGGGAAGAACAAGUGCCGUUCAAAUAGGGCGGCACCUUGACGGUACCUAACCAGAAAGCCACGGCUAACUACGUG
RNAcentral lists this ribosomal RNA (497 nucleotides) under uncultured bacterium. RNAcentral describes it as "partial 16S ribosomal RNA". It matches the Rfam family "Bacterial small subunit ribosomal RNA", at positions 28 to 507 of the family's 1533-position model. The record is from RNAcentral.